UUAAGCGACUAAGCGUACACGGUGGAUGCCCUGGCAGUCAGAGGCGAUGAAGGACGUGCUAAUCUGCGAUAAGCGUCGGUAAGGUGAUAUGAACCGUUAUAACCGGCGAUUUCCGAAUGGGGAAACCCAGUGUGUUUCGACACACUAUCAUUAACUGAAUCCAUAGGUUAAUGAGGCGAACCGGGGGAACUGAAACAUCUAAGUACCCCGAGGAAAAGAAAUCAACCGAGAUUCCCCCAGUAGCGGCGAGCGAACGGGGAGGAGCCCAGAGCCUGAAUCAGUGUGUGUGUUAGUGGAAGCGUCUGGAAAGGCGCGCGAUACAGGGUGACAGCCCCGUACACAAAAAUGCACAUGCUGUGAGCUCGAUGAGUAGGGCGGGACACGUGGUAUCCUGUCUGAAUAUGGGGGGACCAUCCUCCAAGGCUAAAUACUCCUGACUGACCGAUAGUGAACCAGUACCGUGAGGGAAAGGCGAAAAGAACCCCGGCGAGGGGAGUGAAAAAGAACCUGAAACCGUGUACGUACAAGCAGUGGGAGCCUCUUUUAUGGGGUGACUGCGUACCUUUUGUAUAAUGGGUCAGCGACUUAUAUUCUGUAGCAAGGUUAACCGAAUAGGGGAGCCGAAGGGAAACCGAGUCUUAACUGGGCGUUAAGUUGCAGGGUAUAGACCCGAAACCCGGUGAUCUAGCCAUGGGCAGGUUGAAGGUUGGGUAACACUAACUGGAGGACCGAACCGACUAAUGUUGAAAAAUUAGCGGAUGACUUGUGGCUGGGGGUGAAAGGCCAAUCAAACCGGGAGAUAGCUGGUUCUCCCCGAAAGCUAUUUAGGUAGCGCCUCGUGAAUUCAUCUCCGGGGGUAGAGCACUGUUUCGGCAAGGGGGUCAUCCCGACUUACCAACCCGAUGCAAACUGCGAAUACCGGAGAAUGUUAUCACGGGAGACACACGGCGGGUGCUAACGUCCGUCGUGAAGAGGGAAACAACCCAGACCGCCAGCUAAGGUCCCAAAGUCAUGGUUAAGUGGGAAACGAUGUGGGAAGGCCCAGACAGCCAGGAUGUUGGCUUAGAAGCAGCCAUCAUUUAAGAAAGCGUAAUAGCUCACUGGUCGAGUCGGCCUGCGCGGAAGAUGUAACGGGGCUAAACCAUGCACCGAAGCUGCGGCAGCGACGCUUAUGCGUUGUUGGGUAGGGGAGCGUUCUGUAAGCCUGUGAAGGUGUGCUGUGAGGCAUGCUGGAGGUAUCAGAAGUGCGAAUGCUGACAUAAGUAACGAUAAAGCGGGUGAAAAGCCCGCUCGCCGGAAGACCAAGGGUUCCUGUCCAACGUUAAUCGGGGCAGGGUGAGUCGACCCCUAAGGCGAGGCCGAAAGGCGUAGUCGAUGGGAAACAGGUUAAUAUUCCUGUACUUGGUGUUACUGCGAAGGGGGGACGGAGAAGGCUAUGUUGGCCGGGCGACGGUUGUCCCGGUUUAAGCGUGUAGGCUGGUUUUCCAGGCAAAUCCGGAAAAUCAAGGCUGAGGCGUGAUGACGAGGCACUACGGUGCUGAAGCAACAAAUGCCCUGCUUCCAGGAAAAGCCUCUAAGCAUCAGGUAACAUCAAAUCGUACCCCAAACCGACACAGGUGGUCAGGUAGAGAAUACCAAGGCGCUUGAGAGAACUCGGGUGAAGGAACUAGGCAAAAUGGUGCCGUAACUUCGGGAGAAGGCACGCUGAUAUGUAGGUGAAGCGACUUGCUCGUGGAGCUGAAAUCAGUCGAAGAUACCAGCUGGCUGCAACUGUUUAUUAAAAACACAGCACUGUGCAAACACGAAAGUGGACGUAUACGGUGUGACGCCUGCCCGGUGCCGGAAGGUUAAUUGAUGGGGUCAGCGCAAGCGAAGCUCUUGAUCGAAGCCCCGGUAAACGGCGGCCGUAACUAUAACGGUCCUAAGGUAGCGAAAUUCCUUGUCGGGUAAGUUCCGACCUGCACGAAUGGCGUAAUGAUGGCCAGGCUGUCUCCACCCGAGACUCAGUGAAAUUGAACUCGCUGUGAAGAUGCAGUGUACCCGCGGCAAGACGGAAAGACCCCGUGAACCUUUACUAUAGCUUGACACUGAACAUUGAGCCUUGAUGUGUAGGAUAGGUGGGAGGCUUUGAAGUGUGGACGCCAGUCUGCAUGGAGCCGACCUUGAAAUACCACCCUUUAAUGUUUGAUGUUCUAACGUUGACCCGUAAUCCGGGUUGCGGACAGUGUCUGGUGGGUAGUUUGACUGGGGCGGUCUCCUCCUAAAGAGUAACGGAGGAGCACGAAGGUUGGCUAAUCCUGGUCGGACAUCAGGAGGUUAGUGCAAUGGCAUAAGCCAGCUUGACUGCGAGCGUGACGGCGCGAGCAGGUGCGAAAGCAGGUCAUAGUGAUCCGGUGGUUCUGAAUGGAAGGGCCAUCGCUCAACGGAUAAAAGGUACUCCGGGGAUAACAGGCUGAUACCGCCCAAGAGUUCAUAUCGACGGCGGUGUUUGGCACCUCGAUGUCGGCUCAUCACAUCCUGGGGCUGAAGUAGGUCCCAAGGGUAUGGCUGUUCGCCAUUUAAAGUGGUACGCGAGCUGGGUUUAGAACGUCGUGAGACAGUUCGGUCCCUAUCUGCCGUGGGCGCUGGAGAACUGAGGGGGGCUGCUCCUAGUACGAGAGGACCGGAGUGGACGCAUCACUGGUGUUCGGGUUGUCAUGCCAAUGGCACUGCCCGGUAGCUAAAUGCGGAAGAGAUAAGUGCUGAAAGCAUCUAAGCACGAAACUUGCCCCGAGAUGAGUUCUCCCUGACUCCUUGAGAGUCCUGAAGGAACGUUGAAGACGACGACGUUGAUAGGCCGGGUGUGUAAGCGCAGCGAUGCGUUGAGCUAACCGGUACUAAUGAACCGUGAGGCUUAACCUU
This 2901-nucleotide ribosomal RNA is filed under the name Escherichia coli MP021566.1. RNAcentral's name for it is "bacterial LSU rRNA". It matches the Rfam family "Bacterial large subunit ribosomal RNA". Lineage: Bacteria; Pseudomonadati; Pseudomonadota; Gammaproteobacteria; Enterobacterales; Enterobacteriaceae. The record is from RNAcentral.